CCUACGGGAGGCAGCAGUGAGGAAUAUUGGUCAAUGGGCUUACGCCUGAACCAGCCAAGUCGCGUGAGGGAAGACUGCCCUAUGGGUUGUAAACCUCUUUUGUCAGGGAGCAACGCCGGCUACGUGUAGCCGGACUGAGAAUACCUGAAGAAAAAGCAUCGGCUAACUCCGUGCCAGCAGCCGCGGUAAUACGGAGCAUGCGAGCGUUAUCCGGAUUUAUUGGUUUUAAAGGGUGCGUAGGCGGAAUGCCAAGUCAGCGGUAAAAUCGCGGGGCUCAACCCCAUCGAGCCGUUGAAACUGGGGAUCUAGAGGGUGCGAGAGGUAGGCGGAAUGCGUGGUGUAGCGGUGAAAUGCAUAGAUAUCACGCAGAACCCCGAUUGCGAAGGCAGCAUACCGGUGCACAACUGACGCUCAGGCACGAAAGCGUGGGUAUCGAACAGGAUUAGAUACCCCUGUAGUC
RNAcentral lists this ribosomal RNA (460 nucleotides) under uncultured bacterium. Its description in RNAcentral is "partial 16S ribosomal RNA". It matches the Rfam family "Bacterial small subunit ribosomal RNA", at positions 338 to 795 of the family's 1533-position model. The record is from RNAcentral.